GAAACUGGGCUCAAGGUGAGGGGUGCUAUCUGUGAUUGAGGGACAUGGUUAAUGGAAUUGUCUCACACAGAAAUCGCACCCGUCACCUUGGCCUGCUUA
Cebus imitator (Panamanian white-faced capuchin) is the source of this 99-nucleotide microRNA precursor. Ensembl annotates it as microRNA 342. Its record names the gene MIR342. The record is from Ensembl. NCBI's taxonomy places the organism in Eukaryota, Metazoa, Chordata, Mammalia, Primates, Cebidae.